GGACUACCCGGGUAUCUAAUCCCGUUUGCUCCCCUAGCUUUCGCGCACUCAGCGUCAGAAGAGGUCCAGUCCGCCGCUUUCGCCACCGGCGUUCCUUCUGAUAUCUACGCAUUUCACCGCUCCACCAGAAGUUCCGCAGACCCCUACCUCCCUCGAGACUGGCAGUAUCCAAGGCACUUUUCCAGUUAAGCUGAAAGAUUUCACCCCGGACUUGCCAACCCGCCUACGCGCCCUUUAAGCCCAGUGAAUCCGAACAACGUUCGCACGGUUCGUCUUACCGCGGCGGCUGGCAC
This 293-nucleotide ribosomal RNA is filed under the name uncultured bacterium. RNAcentral describes it as "partial 16S ribosomal RNA". RNAcentral also lists the same sequence under 1 other name. The record is from RNAcentral.